RNAcentral lists this ribosomal RNA (201 nucleotides) under uncultured bacterium. RNAcentral's name for it is "partial 16S ribosomal RNA". It matches the Rfam family "Bacterial small subunit ribosomal RNA", at positions 328 to 538 of the family's 1533-position model. The record is from RNAcentral.
ACGCUCGACACCUACGGGGGCAGCAGUGGGGAAUAUUGCACAAUGGGGGAAACCCUGAUGCAGCAACGCCGCGUGAAGGAAGACGGUUUUCGGAUUGUAAACUUCUGUUCUUAGUGAAGAUAGUGACGGUAGCUAAGGAGCAAGCCACGGCUAACUACGUGCCAGCAGCCGACGGUAAUCUGAGGCGGGCUGGACGAAGGC